AUUGAACGCUGGCGGCAGGCCUAACACAUGCAAGUCGAGCGGAUGAAGGGAGCUUGCUCCUGGAUUCAGCGGCGGACGGGUGAGUAAUGCCUAGGAAUCUGCCUGGUAGUGGGGGAUAACGUCCGGAAACGGGCGCUAAUACCGCAUACGUCCUGAGGGAGAAAGUGGGGGAUCUUCGGACCUCACGCUAUCAGAUGAGCCUAGGUCGGAUUAGCUAGUUGGUGGGGUAAAGGCCUACCAAGGCGACGAUCCGUAACUGGUCUGAGAGGAUGAUCAGUCACACUGGAACUGAGACGCAGUCCAGACUCCUACGGGAGGCAGCAGUGGGGAAUAUUGGACAAUGGGCGAAAGCCUGAUCCAGCCAUGCCGCGUGUGUGAAGAAGGUCUUCGGAUUGUAAAGCACUUUAAGUUGGGAGGAAGGGCAGUAAGUUAAUACCUUGCUGUUUUGACGUUACCAACAGAAUAAGCACCGGCUAACUUCGUG
This 484-nucleotide ribosomal RNA is filed under the name uncultured bacterium. RNAcentral's name for it is "partial 16S ribosomal RNA". It matches the Rfam family "Bacterial small subunit ribosomal RNA", at positions 30 to 507 of the family's 1533-position model. The record is from RNAcentral.